UUAUGUGGAAAUUGGACUAUGUAAUUAUGGAGCAGGAGGAGGAGGAGGAAGAGGAGGAGGAGGAGGAGGAGGAGGUGGUGUAGUCUGGUAUCUUCUUAUCUUCCUCUCUUCUUCUUCUUCUUCUUCCUCUUCCUUCCUUCCAUUCUUUAUUUCUUCCUCCUUUUCCUCUUUCUUUCAAUAUACUUCUAAGGAGGAAGAGGAGGAGGAGGAAGAAGAGGAGGAGGAGGAGGAGGAGGAGGAGGAGGAGGAGGUAUCUUCAUUCCUUCAUUCCACCUCCAUCUCUCUCUCUCUCUCUCUCUCUCUCUCUCUCUCUCUCUCUCUCUCUCUCUCUCUCUCUCUCUCUCUCUCUCU
Molecule: long non-coding RNA, 351 nt
Organism: Eriocheir sinensis (Chinese mitten crab)
Lineage: Eukaryota; Metazoa; Arthropoda; Malacostraca; Decapoda; Varunidae
Exons: 2
Source: RefSeq, a predicted model, not a curated record